UUCUGUUGACAGAUUUAAUUUAAAUCUCACGAAUGUAACUUUAAAUGCAUGAUAAUUAUUUUACAUCUCAAAAUCAUUGCUACGCGAUACCUUGACACAUCGAAGUAUUGCACAACGCUGUUCGUUACGAAAAACCGUUGAUCAUUCUUUUGAAAUUGUUCAAAUCGUUUCCACGUCUCGAUCGAUUCGUGACUCGUCGCGAUGAAUCGCGAAGAAUCGUGAAAUAAUCGCUGCGACAAACUUAUGACGCAUUCGAAUGCACACGUGGAAAAGCUCGAGGGUGAGUGGCGUGUCACCGACGGUGCUUUAAUAUAACUCGAUAUAAAUCACGAACGUAUCGAGGUUAACUUUGACCUUCUUAAUAUAGCGGAACCUCAUGCUUCGAAAUUCUCAUAUUCUUUAUUAAUUUCGACCACGUAUUGCAUCAGUAUUUUGACGUAUCGAAACUCACUUUUCUUUAUUCAUAUUGUGCGCGCUAUUAUUAUGGUACAGUGCAUUGCGUCAGACUUCCAAUAAUGAAAACCACGUGCACGGUGGGACUAUAUUAAGGUAAUUACGAAAUAAGAUACAUCUACGUCCAAUUAUUAUAUUUCGAUUGGAAAGGAUUUUGUGUUCGAUGAAUAAUCGAUAUGGAAAAUUUUAAAAUUUUUUCCAUAUUUGAUCACUCAUGAAAGAUAAAGGGAUUUACUUAAAUAUUCGAUCGUCAAAGUUGCAAUACGAUUCAAUUACAGCGCGUAAAAGUUCAAUAUUUUUUUGAUAAUGCUGUUCGAAAGAAAAUAUAAUUUUAUUCGAUAGAAGAAUAAUGCAAUUAGUGCAAUUUUUCGUGUCCGGAUAUGUGUAUUUUGUCUCGGUUGUCUGCAUUCUAAGUGCAUCAGUUUCUCAUCGUUAGUUUUGGCGUCGUCAUCGCGCUCGUGUACUCGCUGCGGUAACCUUGUGCAACGCUUUACCGAUUCGCAUCUACGCCUUCUGCAGAAUUCUUUUUUUUUUUUUCUUUUUUUU
Molecule: long non-coding RNA, 999 nt
Organism: Apis florea (little honeybee)
Lineage: Eukaryota; Metazoa; Arthropoda; Insecta; Hymenoptera; Apidae
Source: RefSeq, a predicted model, not a curated record